AACCCAUGAUGAGGGCACCUUCUCAAUAAGUCCUUAUACCUCUCCCAUGCAUCAUAUAGCAUCCCUAAAUCGAUCUGAACAAAGGAAAAGAUAUCAUUCAUCAACUU
RNAcentral lists this small nucleolar RNA (107 nucleotides) under Gossypium hirsutum (cotton). Its description in RNAcentral is "Plant small nucleolar RNA R71". It matches the Rfam family "Plant small nucleolar RNA R71". Rfam says of the family: R71 is a member of the C/D box family of snoRNAs containing the C (UGAUGA) and D (CUGA) box motifs. Lineage: Eukaryota; Viridiplantae; Streptophyta; Magnoliopsida; Malvales; Malvaceae. The record is from Rfam by way of RNAcentral.